Molecule: long non-coding RNA, 1558 nt
Organism: Vespa crabro (European hornet)
Lineage: Eukaryota; Metazoa; Arthropoda; Insecta; Hymenoptera; Vespidae
Exons: 3
Source: RefSeq, a predicted model, not a curated record
UAUGCUUUGUAUGAAGAAAUUGAUCUGGAAGUUAUAGGUAAAUGUCGUCAAGUUUCAGGUAGAUUUGCCGCGCAUCUCAUGGCGCGCCCUUCCUUUGUCUUUCGUUAUCUAUAAAUUCUUUUGUUACCUAAAAAUCGUGACGUUAAGAUUUUGGGAGAGAACGGGCAGUAAAAAAUAGAUCGUAGACGAGAGUAAUAAUUAGUAAAUAAAAUUUAACAGAGUUAACAAUAAACGUGAAUUGUCGUUUCUUUGUUCACAGAGAAACAUAUUUUCGUAUCACUUCACCCAAAUUAAAGUUACUAUAAAAAUAAGAUAUUACAUAAAGAUAAAAUUUUAUAAUAUUUUUUUAUUUUUUAGAAUCUGUUUAAAUCUUAUUCUACAUAAAGAUUUCACAUUUUCUAAGAUAUGGCUAUGUUAUGCAUAUUUCGAAAUACAAUAAAAAAAUUUUAUUGUAGCGAGAAAAACAUUAGUAUGCUAUUAUUAUAAUAAUUUUUUUUAUUAUUUAUAAGUAUUGAAUUAUUGUAUUUUUAACUAUUUAAUUUCAUUUAUUUCUAAGUAUGGUAUUGGAUGUGUAUCCCAGAGACAAAUUGUUCCGUGGUUACAAUGAUUUAGAGGUAGAAGGUAGAAAAUUUGACAGAUGCAGGAUUCUGUAUGAAAAAUUAUUUGAAUUUGCACUUCAAAACAGCGCAAUAUGAAUGAAAGAAAACUAUAGUUACAUUUAUCUUAUGUUUUAUUCUACUUAUAUUUAUUUAAUUGUUAUAAUAUCUAUAAAGUUUCUAAAAGAAUUAGAAACUUUAUUAGGAGACUUUGACCGUACUAGAGCUAUUUAUGAAUUAGCUGUGUCUUAGGCGAAUUAAGUUAUAUUUUUAUAAAUUACUACUAAAUGUAAUUAAAGCUGUCUUUUUCUUCUAUUUUUAUUUUUUAUCAAAAACAUGUUUAAUAUUUUUAUUAUUUGUAUUAUUAGUUUGGAUAUGCCUGAACUUUUAUGGAAGUUAUAUAUAGAUUUUGAAAUAUACAGGAUGAAAUAGGAAAUACCAGACAACUAUUUGAGAGAUUAUUAGAACGAAAUGUUCAUGUCAAAGUAAGCGUGAUUUCAUGGUAUGAUUUUAUAUAUAUAUAAAACUUAAUUUAUAAAUCUUCUUACAUUAUAAUACACGCGUUUGUAUAGUUUAUGCUAAAUUUGAAUUAGUUAAUUCUCCAUUGGAAGAUGAUGUUGAUAAUGUUAAAUAGUAGAAUAACAUUAAAUAGUUUUGGACGAAUUUAAAUUGAAAAGAAGUAUUCUUAAUUUAUAUUAAAACUAAUCUGUAUUAAAUAGAAGAUAUUUGGCUUCGAGAAAAAGAUUUCGACUUCGUAUUCUCAGAAGGGAAAUAUCUAAGAACAAAUCUUAACUUCUUGGCAUUAGCGAAAGCGUGGAUAAAGCAAAAAAUUUCUAGUGAAACUGCUAAAAAUGAAAAUUAACAAUUAGAAUCAGACAAUUAAAAAUAAUUUAUAUCUUUUGUAUUAUUAUUAUAUUUAUAUUGUGUAAAUAGACAAUAUAAGUAUUGUGGAGAAUUUUAUA